GAUGAACGCUGGCGGCGUGCCUAAUACAUGCAAGUCGAGCGAACGGACGAGAAGCUUGCUUCUCUGAUGUUAGCGGCGGACGGGUGAGUAACACGUGGAUAACCUACCUAUAAGACUGGGAUAACUUCGGGAAACCGGAGCUAAUACCGGAUAAUAUUUUGAACCGCAUGGUUCAAAAGUGAAAGACGGUCUUGCUGUCACUUAUAGAUGGAUCCGCGCUGCAUUAGCUAGUUGGUAAGGUAACGGCUUACCAAGGCAACGAUGCAUAGCCGACCUGAGAGGGUGAUCGGCCACACUGGAACUGAGACACGGUCCAGACUCCUACGGGAGGCAGCAGUAGGGAAUCUUCCGCAAUGGGCGAAAGCCUGACGGAGCAACGCCGCGUGAGUGAUGAAGGUCUUCGGAUCGUAAAACUCUGUUAUUAGGGAAGAACAUAUGUGUAAGUAACUGUGCACAUCUUGACGGUACCUAAUCAGAAAGCCACGGCUAACUACGUGCCAGCAGCCGCGGUAAUACGUAGGUGGCAAGCGUUAUCCGGAAUUAUUGGGCGUAAAGCGCGCGUAGGCGGUUUUUUAAGUCUGAUGUGAAAGCCCACGGCUCAACCGUGGAGGGUCAUUGGAAACUGGAAAACUUGAGUGCAGAAGAGGAAAGUGGAAUUCCAUGUGUAGCGGUGAAAUGCGCAGAGAUAUGGAGGAAUACCAGUGGCGAAGGCGACUUUCUGGUCUGUAACUGACGCUGAUGUGCGAAAGCGUGGGGAUCAAACAGGAUUAGAUACCCUGGUAGUCCACGCCGUAAACGAUGAGUGCUAAGUGUUAGGGGGUUUCCGCCCCUUAGUGCUGCAGCUAACGCAUUAAGCACUCCGCCUGGGGAGUACGACCGCAAGGUUGAAACUCAAAGGAAUUGACGGGGACCCGCACAAGCGGUGGAGCAUGUGGUUUAAUUCGAAGCAACGCGAAGAACCUUACCAAAUCUUGACAUCCUUUGACAACUCUAGAGAUAGAGCCUUCCCCUUCGGGGGACAAAGUGACAGGUGGUGCAUGGUUGUCGUCAGCUCGUGUCGUGAGAUGUUGGGUUAAGUCCCGCAACGAGCGCAACCCUUAAGCUUAGUUGCCAUCAUUAAGUUGGGCACUCUAAGUUGACUGCCGGUGACAAACCGGAGGAAGGUGGGGAUGACGUCAAAUCAUCAUGCCCCUUAUGAUUUGGGCUACACACGUGCUACAAUGGACAAUACAAAGGGCAGCGAAACCGCGAGGUCAAGCAAAUCCCAUAAAGUUGUUCUCAGUUCGGAUUGUAGUCUGCAACUCGACUACAUGAAGCUGGAAUCGCUAGUAAUCGUAGAUCAGCAUGCUACGGUGAAUACGUUCCCGGGUCU
This 1372-nucleotide ribosomal RNA is filed under the name uncultured bacterium. RNAcentral's name for it is "bacterial SSU rRNA". It matches the Rfam family "Bacterial small subunit ribosomal RNA", at positions 28 to 1381 of the family's 1533-position model. The record is from RNAcentral.